Molecule: ribosomal RNA, 497 nt
Filed under: uncultured bacterium
Lineage: Bacteria
Description: partial 16S ribosomal RNA
Rfam family: Bacterial small subunit ribosomal RNA
Source: RNAcentral
GAUGAACGCUGGCGGCGUGCCUAAUACAUGCAAGUCGAGCGAACAGACGAGGAGCUUGCUCCUCUGACGUUAGCGGCGGACGGGUGAGUAACACGUGGAUAACCUACCUAUAAGACUGGGAUAACCUCGGGAAACCGGAGCUAAUACCGGAGAAUAUACUGAACCACAGGGUUCAAUAGUAAAAUACGGUGUUGCUGUCUCUUAUCGAUGGAUCCGCGCCGGAUUAGGGAGUUGGUAAGGUAACGGGUUACCAAGGCAACGAUGCGUAGCCGACCUGAUGGGGUGAUCGGCCACACUAGAACUGAGCCACGCUCCAGACUCCUACGGGAGGCAGCAGUAGGGAAUCUUCCGCAAUGGGCGAAAGCCUGACGGAGCAACGCCGCGUGAGUGAUGAAGGUCUUCGGAUCGUAAAGCUCUGUUAUUAGGUAAGAACAAAUGUGUAAGUAACUAUGCACGUCUUGACGGUACCUAAUCAGAAAGCCCCGGCUAACUACGUG